This 338-nucleotide long non-coding RNA is filed under the name Mytilus galloprovincialis (Mediterranean mussel). Lineage: Eukaryota; Metazoa; Mollusca; Bivalvia; Mytilida; Mytilidae. The record is from RNAcentral.
GUCAUUUUGAAGAAACAAAAAUAUCUAAAGUAAUCUAAUAGAACAACAUACUUAGGCCUCAACAUUUUCUUUUAAAGAUAUCUCAAGCUGUUGUUAUAACCAAUUUUCUUCAAUAAUUGCCAAUUCUGUCGUCCAUACCUUUUAUAAAUUUCACUGAUUAAUGCAGACAUUGAUUAUGGCCACCAUUAUUGAACAUGAAUAAUUAUUUUACAAUGAAGACAUUGAUUCUGUGACGUGUGAUGAAUGAAGACAGAUGAUUUUUUAUGUAACCAGAAUCAUGAUUUGUCUAUUGUUUUGUUUUUGUACUGUUAUAUAUUUAUUGUUAUUUAGAAAUAAAC